RNAcentral lists this long non-coding RNA (223 nucleotides) under Nicotiana benthamiana. RNAcentral describes it as "long non-coding RNA (NBEN_LNC009009)". The record is from RNAcentral. Lineage: Eukaryota; Viridiplantae; Streptophyta; Magnoliopsida; Solanales; Solanaceae.
CAAAACUGUCUGAACUACGUGUGACUUGAUUCCGAAAGGAUACGUAGUCAACCUCUUUCUGGGGUUCAGUCACACCAAACAAAAUUCCAAUUCCCCAAAAGUGAAACUGGGGCAGAUGAUAGAAUGGCUCAGCCAUGAGCCCACCAAAAUGGUUCCAAAGUUGUAAUUCAGUCCAAAAUGCUUUUUACCCAAAAACCUUGACCAAGUCCUUCCGAUCAAUUGG